UACGUAGGUCCCGAGCGUUGUCCGGAUUUAUUGGGCGUAAAGCGAGCGCAGGUGGUUUAAUAAGUCUGAUGUAAAAGGCAGUGGCUCAACCAUUAUGUGCAUUGGAAACUGUUAGACUUGAGUGCAGUAGAGGAGAGUGGAAUUCCAUGUGUAGCGGUGAAAUGCGUAGAUAUAUGGAGGAACACCGGUGGCGAAAGCGGCUCUCUGGACUGUAACUGACACUGAGGCUCGAAAGCGUGGGUAGCAAACAGG
RNAcentral lists this ribosomal RNA (252 nucleotides) under uncultured microorganism. RNAcentral's name for it is "partial 16S ribosomal RNA". It matches the Rfam family "Bacterial small subunit ribosomal RNA", at positions 524 to 776 of the family's 1533-position model. The record is from RNAcentral.